This 589-nucleotide ribosomal RNA is filed under the name uncultured bacterium. Its description in RNAcentral is "bacterial SSU rRNA". It matches the Rfam family "Bacterial small subunit ribosomal RNA", at positions 57 to 643 of the family's 1533-position model. The record is from RNAcentral.
GCAAGUCGAACGGUAACAUUUCUAGCUUGCUAGAAGAUGACGAGUGGCGGACGGGUGAGUAAUGCUUGGGAACUUGCCUUUGCGAGGGGGAUAACAGUUGGAAACGACUGCUAAUACCGCAUAAUGUCUUCGGACCAAACGGGGCUUAGGCUCCGGCGCAAAGAGAGGCCCAAGUGAGAUUAGCUAGUUGGUAAGGUAAUGGCUUACCAAGGCGACGAUCUCUAGCUGUUCUGAGAGGAAGAUCAGCCACACUGGGACUGAGACACGGCCCAGACUCCUACGGGAGGCAGCAGUGGGGAAUAUUGCACAAUGGGGGAAACCCUGAUGCAGCCAUGCCGCGUGUGUGAAGAAGGCCUUCGGGUUGUAAAGCACUUUCAGUUGUGAGGAAAAGUUAGUAGUUAAUACCUGCUAGCCGUGACGUUAACAACAGAAGAAGCACCGGCUAACUCCGUGCCAGCAGCCGCGGUAAUACGGAGGGUGCGAGCGUUAAUCGGAAUUACUGGGCGUAAAGCGCACGCAGGCGGUUUGUUAAGCUAGAUGUGAAAGCCCCGGGCUCAACCUGGGAUGGUCAUUUAGAACUGGCAGACUA